GAUGAACGCUGGCGGCGUGCCUAAUACAUGCAAGUCGAGCGAACGGACGAGAAGCUUGCUUCUCUGAUGUUAGCGGCGGACGGGUGAGUAACACGUGGAUAACCUACCUAUAAGACUGGGAUAACUUCGGGAAACCGGAGCUAAUACCGGAUAAUAUUUUGAACCGCAUGGGUCAAAAGUGAAAGACGGUCUUGCGGUCACUUAUAGAUGGAUCCGCGCUGCAUUAGCUAGUUGGUAAGGUAACGGCUUACCAAGGCAACGAUGCAUAGCCGACCUGAGAGGGUGAUCGGCCACACUGGAACUGAGACACGGUCCAGACUCCUACGGGAGGCAGCAGUAGGGAAUCUUCCGCAAUGGGCGAAAGCCUGACGGAGCAACGCCGCGUGAGUGAUGAAGGUCUUCGGAUCGUAAAACUCUGUUAUUAGGGAAGAACAUAUGUGUAAGUAACUGUGCACAUCUUGACGGUACCUAAUCAGAAAGCCACGGCUAACUACGUG
RNAcentral lists this ribosomal RNA (497 nucleotides) under uncultured bacterium. RNAcentral's name for it is "partial 16S ribosomal RNA". It matches the Rfam family "Bacterial small subunit ribosomal RNA", at positions 28 to 507 of the family's 1533-position model. The record is from RNAcentral.